This 352-nucleotide RNase P RNA is filed under the name Clostridiales bacterium. Its description in RNAcentral is "RNase P RNA component class A". It matches the Rfam family "Bacterial RNase P class A". Rfam says of the family: Ribonuclease P (RNase P) is a ubiquitous endoribonuclease, found in archaea, bacteria and eukarya as well as chloroplasts and mitochondria. Its best characterised activity is the generation of mature 5'-ends of tRNAs by cleaving the 5'-leader elements of precursor-tRNAs. Lineage: Bacteria; Bacillati; Bacillota; Clostridia; Eubacteriales. The record is from RNAcentral.
CGAGAUGACCGAACGGUUACGAGCGCGGCGGUAUAGCGAUAUGCCGUCCUCCGCACGAGGAAAGUCCGAACACCACAGGGACGGAAUGCCGGCUAACUACCGGUGAAGGCGACUUCAAGGAAAGUGCAACAGAAAUAAACCGCCCGUGCCAAACGGGCAAGGAUGGAAAGGUAGGGUAAGAGCCUACCGCUUCGGCGGCGACGCCGAGGGCUAUGUAAACCCCAUUCGGUGCAAGAUAGGGAGCUAUGGUUUGUCCCGACCGCUUCCGUACUCGCUUGACUUUUGCGGCAACGCAAAGGCUAGACAGAUAACCGUUCUCGACAGAAUUCGGCUUACAGGUCAUUCUCACCAU